Molecule: long non-coding RNA, 2782 nt
Organism: Homo sapiens (human)
Lineage: Eukaryota; Metazoa; Chordata; Mammalia; Primates; Hominidae
Exons: 3
Source: RefSeq, a predicted model, not a curated record
GAGCUGUAGGGCUAACUCCUCAGCCCGACUCUUAUCGCUCCCCAUCUCUCAUCCGGCACCCAGUCUUUCCGGCUGGGUGGCUGCACCUCCAAGAGGGAGAGGAGGAGGAAGCGAGGGGACCAAUACACUGGGAGGAAGUGACCUGACCAGACCUUUGCUCUCUAACUCCGGCUGGACAGAGGCAGCCCAGCAGCCCCCUAGCAUCCAUCUGGCUUGGGGAGUGGUGCCCCAGGGCUUAUGAGUGAGCUGGAACCCCAUGUCCUGGAAUCCCGAGUGGCUGUGACUGCUGACUGAUGCCCCCCUCCCCACAGUUCUGGAGAGUGGCUCAGCAGUCUCCCCGAGCUCCGGCCCUAGCAGUCCUCCCGUCUCCCCUCUGUCUGGACAUCGCCUUCUUACAAUGCAGAACAGACGAUGCACUGUCUCAGGUCACGCUUAGCCUCCUACGGGGGCACGACAGAAGAAGAGGAACAUUUAGAGAGGCACAGCUCCUACAUCCUUGGAUGGGGAGAGUGGGGAGCAAACAGGCCAGGAGCCUACUGUGAUCAGAGCUGGGGGAGCCAGUGUGAGCAGCAGGGUGAGUGGGGUGUGCAUGGGUGUGCACGCUCAGGGGGGUGGGGGGCUUGAGGGGUGGCAGGGGGACCCUACGGGAUGUUGCUUUUCAGCCUGGCGCUGCCUCGCUGAGUAGCCUGAGACUAGGAAAAGGCUUAAAGAAUUCACAGUGGGAAGGCUGCAGCCUGACUCUGCUCCUGGCCGGCGUUUGCCCGCUGCCUGGCCCUGGCUGUUCCAACGAUGGACUUCCUUCCUCUUUGGCCAUAAAAGUCUCCCGGAAAGCCUUCCCACAGAGGCCCCGGGGGCUUUCUCAGGGAAUGUGUGAGUGUGUGCUCACACAAGCACUGUGGAGCAGGAGCCCAGGGCCGCGUGCAGGCUCUCCCACAGAGCUGUGGGUCCUGGCGCUGGAGGAGAGGUUCGUCCCAGCCUGGGUGGAGAGCGGAGGAAAGGCUGGCCCUUGCCUGGACUUGGGCCCUGGCUUAUGCAAUGCUCAGACUCUUAGUCAACUUCAGCAACUGGGGCACAUCCACACGCAUGUGCACACACGUGCAGGCACACACCCGGGCAGGGAGGUGUGAGGAAGGGAGACCAAUGAGCCUGUGCCAAGCUCUGCUUACAGAUCUCCCCAGAUCUGGAGAGAAAAGGGGAGCCCUUCUCCAAGAGGGGGCUGCGCUCAGGCUGCUAGGGUAUGAUGAUGGCUCCAAGCCUGUGGCUGAGGUUGGAUGGACCAUUGAGAGGAGCCCUCCAGGGUGAGGGGACAGAAGCCCAUCAGUCCGUAUUGAUGGAAUGUGGCUACAGUGUGGAGAGAAGAAGAUACUUUCUCUUCCUGCCCCAGAAGGUACCCAAGCCUCCGGGAUGCUGGGUCACAGAACCCGCCUGGCAGAGAGUUGCAUCAGAGCGAAACUGCAUGCUAGAUGCCUGAGGGGAGAGGGCACUGAGGACUUGUGAUCCUAAUUUCCCAACCUUCAGCUGCUCAGGGUCAAGUCCUUAGGCUCCACUUGCUCUUCUCCCCUCCCCAGCAUUCUUCUGUACUAGGUUGCACAUGAUGAGGGUGGUCUGAGGGGAGAACAAGGAGGGGGUGUGACUCAGAGUUCACCCGGCUGUCAGCAGCCCUGAGUCAGAGGGAGGGUGGGGAGGUGGGUGGAACAGCUUUUGGUAGUCUUGGGGUUCCCUAUAAGCAAGAGCAUCCCAGAAAAAUAGAAGAGAGCCCCCCAGAAGCUACGAGGCUCCCACAUGCAGGGUAGGCCUUUUCUCGGCCACCACUACACACCCCAGGAGAACAGGAGAGGCCUCCACGAGUCCUGGAUGAUUUAGGUGCGGACUUGCCUGGGGGAAGGGUGUUGGCCCAGAGGACCCCUUGGGUACCUCUGAACUCUGGGAUUCUGCAGAGAGGCCUCACCACAUCAAUGCUUUUUGCUCUGUGUACCCAGAUGGGUCUGUGGAGAAUUUGGGGGGUUCCACUGCUGGGACUGGGGAGAUGACAAUCUGGGGUCAGGGGACUGAGGUGGGUGUGGGAUGUGGGAACAGGAGGGGUGUCCCAUAGCACCAGUGGAGCUUCUGCAUCUGCUUCAGGGCUCUUGUUUUCCUGGAAGUAGGAAGGAGAGUGGGGAUGGCUGGAAAGUUCUGAAAAUUGCUUUUUGCUUAUGUAUGGUCUUGGCAAAGAAGCUGUGGGGUGUGUUCCUUCUUUAUCAUAGCUGGCAGCCCUGACUUCCCAUAAUACAAUGAUUGGGAGGCUGAGGCCUGGUUACUUGGUGCUUCCUCCACGUGUCUCUGUAGACCUCUCUGCAGCUCUUCUUGUUUUAGCUCCGUAGGCAAGACAUCCCAUUGAUGUAAUGUCAGCCUAGGAGCACAACUGUCUUCCCGGGCUCACGGCCUCCACCUACCCAGCUAGAGCUGGAGAGCCAUGCCCUCCCCAGGCCCUGCAUCUCCUCCCUCCCUGGUCAGGGGUGUCACCAGCAAGGGCACGGCCACCAAACACAGCCUGUGGAUCAGCUCUCUGAGAUGGCCCUCGUUUGCUCACUGUCUGAACAGAGCAUUUCCUUUCCUUCCCUUCCUGUGAGCAGAUUCCCCAUCCAGGUGGGUAGCUGCGGCCAGCUAUGCAGGCACCAAUGAGCUGCAAGGGAGGUCAGCCACCCUUUAGCCAGGUCCACCCCCUGCCUUUUACAGAGGAGCAAAUUCAGGGCCACGGCAUCCAUAGGACCAGUCACGGGCAGCAGUGUGGAUCUACAACCCA